AGAGUUUGAUCAUGGCUCAGAACGAACGCUGGCGGCGUGCCUAAGACAUGCAAGUCGUACGGAAAGGCCCCCUUCGGGGGGCACUCGAGUGGCGCACGGGUGAGUAACGCGUGGGUAAUCUGCCUUAGGGUCUAGGACAACCCCGGGAAACUGGGGCUAAUACUGGAUAAGACCACGAGCUCUUCGGAGCUUGCGGGAAAAGAUGGCCUCUCCUUGGAAGCUAUCGCCCUUCGAUGAGCCCGCGUCCCAUUAGCUAGUUGGUGAGGUGACGGCUCACCAAGGCUUUGAUGGGUAGCUGGUCUGAGAGGCUGAUCAGCCACACUGGAACUGAGACACGGUCCAGACUCCUACGGGAGGCAGCAGUCGGGAAUUUUGGGCAAUGGGCGAAAGCCUGACCCAGCAACGCCGCGUGAGGGAUGAAGGCCCUCGGGUCGUAAACCUCUGUCGGGAGGGAAGAACGGUUCACGUUCAAACAGGACGGGAGCCUGACGGUACCUCCAAAGGAAGCACCGGCUAACUCCGUGCCAGCAGCCGCGGUAAUACGGAGGGUGCAAGCGUUGUUCGGAAUCAUUGGGCGUAAAGCGCGUGUAGGCGGCUUGGCAAGUCAGUUGUGAAAGCCCGGGGCCCAACCCCGGAACUGCAUCUGAAACUGCCUGGCUAGAGUCCCGGAGAGGAAGGCAGAAUUCCCGGUGUAGGGGUG
This 700-nucleotide ribosomal RNA is filed under the name uncultured bacterium. Its description in RNAcentral is "bacterial SSU rRNA". It matches the Rfam family "Bacterial small subunit ribosomal RNA", at positions 8 to 683 of the family's 1533-position model. The record is from RNAcentral.